Molecule: ribosomal RNA, 1812 nt
Filed under: Corynebacterium sp. HMSC05E07
Lineage: Bacteria; Bacillati; Actinomycetota; Actinomycetes; Mycobacteriales; Corynebacteriaceae
Description: bacterial LSU rRNA
Rfam family: Bacterial large subunit ribosomal RNA
Source: RNAcentral
UUGGGUAGGGGAGCGUCGUGCAUGUGUUGAAGCGUUACCGUAAGGAGGCGUGGAGUGUGUGCGAGUGAGAAUGCAGGCAUGAGUAACGAAUUGGAAGGUGAGAAUCCUUCCCGCCGGAUGACUAAGGGUUCCUGGGUCAAGUUCGUCUUCCCAGGGUGAGUCGGGACCUAAGGCGAGGCCGACAGGCGUAGUCGAUGGAUAACCAGUUGAUAUUCUGGUACCCGUAUGUCCGCGCCCAUGAUAAAGCACUGAUACUAACCACCGCGGAUAUGAUUGAUGUGUUCUUUGAGCACGUUGGUUGUUGAUGUCGUGGGGCCUGAUGUGUGGUUCAAGUGAUGGGGUGACACAGAGUAGUAGCCAUGCCGCUUAGUGGAUUGUUGGUGUAAGCGUGUGAGGUGGUGUGUAGGUAAAUCCGCACACCGUAUAGCCUGAGGCGUGAUGCGUAGCCCGAUUGGGGUGAAGUUGGUGAUCUAGUACUGUCGAGAAAAGCCUCUAGCGAUGUGGAUGUAUGGCCCGUACCCUAAACCGACACAGGUGGUCAGGUUGAAAAUACUAAGGCGUUCGGGUGAACUGUGGUUAAGGAACUCGGCAAAAUGCCCCCGUAACUUCGGAAGAAGGGGGACCACACGACUUAAACCAGUCUGUGCGCUGGUGGUGGGUUGUGGGGUCGCAGAGAAUAGAGGGAAGCGACUGUUUAUCAAAAACACAGGUCCAUGCGAAGACGUUAAGUUGAUGUAUAUGGACUGACGCCUGCCCGGUGCUGGAAGGUUAAGAGGACCGGUUAGUCAACUUUGUUGGCGAAGCUGAGAAUUUAAGCCCCAGUAAACGGCGGUGGUAACUAUAACCAUCCUAAGGUAGCGAAAUUCCUUGUCGGGUAAGUUCCGACCUGCACGAAUGGCGUAACGACUUCUCUGCUGUCUCAACCACAGGCCCGGUGAAAUUGCACUACGAGUAAAGAUGCUCGUUACGCGCGGCAGGACGAAAAGACCCCGGGACCUUCACUAUAGCUUGGUAUUGGUGUUUGGUUCGGUUUGUGUAGGAUAGGUGGGAGACUAUGAUACGCGUGCGCCAGCACGUGUGGAGUCGUUGUUGAAAUACCACUCUGAUCGGAUUGAGCAUCUAACCUUGGCCCAUGAUCUGGGUUGGGGACAGUGCCUGGUGGGUAGUUUAACUGGGGCGGUUGCCUCCCAAAAUGUAACGGAGGCGCCCAAAGGUUCCCUCAGCCUGGUUGGCAAUCAGGUAUCGAGUGUAAGUGCACAAGGGAGCUUGACUGUGAGACAGACAUGUCGAACAGGGACGAAAGUCGGGACUAGUGAUCCGGCACCUACUUGUGGAUGUGGUGUCGCUCAACGGAUAAAAGGUACCCCGGGGAUAACAGGCUGAUCUUCCCCAAGAGUCCAUAUCGACGGGAUGGUUUGGCACCUCGAUGUCGGCUCGUCGCAUCCUGGGGCUGGAGUAGGUCCCAAGGGUUGGGCUGUUCGCCCAUUAAAGCGGCACGCGAGCUGGGUUCAGAACGUCGUGAGACAGUUCGGUCUCUAUCCGCCGCGCGCGUUGAAACUUGAAGAAGGCUGUCCCUAGUACGAGAGGACCGGGACGGACGUACCUCUAGUGUGCCAGUUGUUCCGCCAGGAGCAUCGCUGGUUGGCUACGUACGGAAGGGAUAACCGCUGAAAGCAUCUAAGCGGGAAGCCUGUUUUAAGAUGAGGUUUCAUUUGAGGUCCCCUACAGACGAUGGGGUUGAUAGGCCAGACCUGGACACACCGCAAGGUGCGAAGGCUACUGGUACUAAUAGACCAAAACAAACACACCAAA